This 616-nucleotide long non-coding RNA is filed under the name Coturnix japonica (Japanese quail). Its description in RNAcentral is "lncRNA (ENSCJPG00005019598.1)". The record is from RNAcentral. Lineage: Eukaryota; Metazoa; Chordata; Aves; Galliformes; Phasianidae.
CCUUCUUUCAUGUAGAUCUCCUUUAGAUAUUGAAAGCCUUCUAUCGGGUCACCUUGUUGCCUUCUCUUCUCCAGGCUAAAUUUCUGUAAUUUGUAAGUAACUCUAAAUGCGGCAACCACAAAUUAAUGAUGAAGUUAAUAGGAGGACUAAGGUUACAUAAGAAAAUAUUUCAUUGGCAGCUAUCAGUCAAUACCAGUGACUGUUAAAUAUAAAGACUAUCUUGCCAGGGAAUCCUAGCCAUACAAAUACUUACUUUUCAAGUGACUGGAACUUUGGUGGUCACCAGAGGCAUUUUGUUACAUCACCCAUGCUGUGAGUUCUGGAAUGACGUGGCUAACGGAUCUGCCACCAUAUGCCAGAUGGCUGAGUGAUUCAAGGAUAACACAACAGUAAUUUGCUGCUUGAAUUCAAAGAACAGCUUUGGAGAAAAUGAGCAUACACUGCAGCUUAUCAGAGGCUUUUAGAAUAGUUCUUUACAAAUUCACAUUCCUUCUUCUUUGGUGUCAGAAGAAAGAACGAAGAAGUAUAUAGAAAAGGUCUACUUUCUACACCAAAUCUCUGAAGAAUAUGGGAUGUAUAUUUGCAGACUUUAUGCUAUGUUAUACACAGUAGCUGU